CGAACGGUGAAGCAGAGCUUGCUCUGUGGAUCAGUGGCGAACGGGUGAGUAACACGUGAGCAACCUGCCCCUGACUCUGGGAUAAGCGCUGGAAACGGCGUCUAAUACCGGAUAUGAGCUGCGAUCGCAUGGUCAGCAGUUGGAAAGAUUUUUCGGUCUGGGAUGGGCUCACGGCCUAUCAGCUUGUUGGUGAGGUAAUGGCUCACCAAGGCGUCGACGGGUAGCCGGCCUGAGAGGGUGACCGGCCACACUGGGACUGAGACACGGCCCAGACUCCUACGGGAGGCAGCAGUGGGGAAUAUUGCACAAUGGGCGAAAGCCUGAUGCAGCAACGCCGCGUGAGGGAUGACGGCCUUCGGGUUGUAAACCUCUUUUAGCAGGGAAGAAGCGAAAGUGACGGUACCUGCAGAAAAAGCGCCGGCUAACUACGUGCCAGCAGCCGCGGUAAUACGUAGGGCGCAAGCGUUAUCCGGAAUUAUUGGGCGUAAAGAGCUCGUAGGCGGUUUGUCGCGUCUGCUGUGAAAUCCCGAGGCUCAACCUCGGGUCUGCAGU
Molecule: ribosomal RNA, 552 nt
Filed under: Microbacterium imperiale
Lineage: Bacteria; Bacillati; Actinomycetota; Actinomycetes; Micrococcales; Microbacteriaceae
Description: bacterial SSU rRNA
Rfam family: Bacterial small subunit ribosomal RNA
Source: RNAcentral